This 75-nucleotide transfer RNA is filed under the name Chloroflexi bacterium ADurb.Bin325. RNAcentral's name for it is "tRNA-Arg". It matches the Rfam family "tRNA". From Rfam's summary of the family: Transfer RNA (tRNA) molecules are approximately 80 nucleotides in length. Their secondary structure includes four short double-helical elements and three loops (D, anti-codon, and T loops). Further hydrogen bonds mediate the characteristic L-shaped molecular structure. tRNAs have two regions of fundamental functional importance: the anti-codon, which is responsible for specific mRNA codon recognition, and the 3' end, to which the tRNAs corresponding amino acid is attached (by aminoacyl-tRNA synthetases). tRNAs cope with the degeneracy of the genetic code in two manners: having more than one tRNA (with a specific anti-codon) for a particular amino acid; and 'wobble' base-pairing, i.e. permitting non-standard base-pairing at the 3rd anti-codon position. The record is from RNAcentral. Lineage: Bacteria; Bacillati; Chloroflexota.
UGCCCCCAUAGCUCAAAGGACAGAGCAGAUGCCUUCUAAGCAUAAGGUUGCAGGUUCGAGUCCUGCUGGGGGUAU